AACAAAGAGUCCUCUUCUUGUGCAAAUUUGCAGUCAUAUUUCCCUACUGCAUACUUUGUGGUUUUCUCUUAACUUCUUUCCAUUUUGACAUGGUGGGGGAAGCAGGUGCAAUUCAAGCUGUCAGGUUUGAAAUACACAGAGAGGAAAUAGCUGUCUUGUCCCUAUCUGACACCACAGUGCACAUGUAUGUGUGUGCAGACCUCAGGCUUUAAGCUUAUCUUGGAGCUAACGAAUGGAAACACCCUCUGCAAAGAGGCCUUUCAUUUUAGCUUUUAUCUAAUUUUCUGUGUAAAUGUAGCCUACGGGUAUGUAUUGCUGUGUUUAUCAUAUAAAGUCUCCUCCCAUAUUUCUCUCAACACACACCCCACUGGAGAGACAAAUUUGACAAACUUGAACAAAGAACAAAAUAUUGCAUGUUAACAUCAGACGGAGACUGACAUUUCCUUCUUUGUGAAGCAGAAAAGAAAAACAUGUGUCUAUAGGUGGGCUGAGUACCUUCAUGAGAGAAGCAGACAGGGUGGAAAAGACUGCGGUCAGCACCAUGGACAGCAAAAGGAGAAUCAUCCAGGUGAUCAGCGCCAUGCAAGCGGAUAUCAGAAAGCUGGAGCUGGAAAACAUGGGCCUGAAGAGGAAAGCUGGAAGUAAUCUCAGAAAGAAUGCAUCAGUUCCCAUCAUGGCAGCAGAAUGCAGAGAAAGCGUCGUCAUGACAGUGAGACGAUAUUCAGUCUUCCAGCUGCGGGUCAAUCAUCGAUAUUUGACCAUGGGCAUUUCAAAGAGUGAGGGAGGGACCGGAAAGAAGCAACGCUGACCCUGAGCAUAGUCAAACCAGAGGCGGAGCCAGACAUUUUAUACACCCAGGGCUUAGCCCUAAAGGGUAGUAUGCAUGUCGGAUUGGAGGGGGGGUGGGGGGUGGAGUUGCUGUGGAUUUGCUAAACCCCAAAUCAACCAGACCCACAACUGACCCGGAAUUAAAACAGGACUACAACAGUUCAAAAUCAGGACUACUUUAGGACUUAACCAAGAUAGAACCAGAAUCAAAACUAGAUGAUAGUAGCACUGAAAAUCAUCAUAGACCUGCACUACACUGACAACACCUCUUUAUUGUGGUAACAUGAGACUGUAUCUUCGAGACUUGAGUUUUGCGAACCUAUCAAUGACAUUUCCAGGGUCAAUAUUAUUCAAGUAUUCCAAAAAGAUACACUAGGUACUAGAUACAUGUUCUAAUGAGUUUUGGCAAACAACCAUUUGAUUAACAUGUCUGUCUCACCUGGCUCUUGUUCCAUUUCUCUUCUGUCCUUAUUAUCCUCUCUAUCUCCCUCUCUGUUCCUCUCGCUCCCUCUUUGUGCUGAGAAUCAAGCCAAACACCACCAUCAUCAAAUAUACAGUUGAAACCAGAUAUUUACAUACUCUUCAGAUAAAAAUACAAUCACUUUUUAAAUUGUAAAACAUCAAAUCAGACUAAAUGUUUUUUUUGUUUUGUUUUAGAUAAACACUGAAAAUACAUGUUUGUUAAAUUUAAGAGUAAAGAGAGAAAUUGUCUGUAUUUCUUAAUUGCAAAUGGAACCCAAAUUGUAUUCAAAAUUGAGCCACACUUAUGGAGGUCCACAAUUCUUUUCCUGGUGUCUUGGUUGACAUCUUUUGAUUCUCCCAUGUUUUGGGGGUGCCUUAUAUGCAUUCACAGGUCUGCCAUCAAUUUACUCAAAUGGACUCUACUAACCUAUCAGAAGCUUCUUAAGCUCAGAAUUGAAUUGUCUGGAGUUUUCUUAUUAAUUAAAAAAACAAACUUAGUGUAUAUAUACUCCUAAAUUUGAUGAAAGUGAAAAAAAAUAGACAGCUCUCUCUUUAUUCUGACAUUUAACUAAUUCAAAAGAUAUUUCAAUAUUUAUUUAUCUAAAACAAUAAAGUUUACUCUACAUUGAUGUUCAACAGUAAAAAAAAAUGUUUUCAUGUUUUUUUCCCCCUAAAGUGUAUGUAAAUAUCUGGUUUCAACUGUGAAUAUACAGCUGUGGAUUGAAAUUCCUCUUGUUUUGCAUAGAAAUAUAUGGAACAACAUACAAAGCAUAAUAUACAAAAUAACAUUUACCUGAGUUUUUUCUUUGAAAGAAGCCCCUUAUGUCCAUUGUUGUGUAAAUCAGUACAUUACUGAAACCGAUUUAGAGUGCUUUAUUUAGCCGUGGAGGGUGACAACUGAAAAUAUGAAAUAAACACAUGUAAGUUAAGACUCUAAAAAACAGCAUUGUUGUUCGGCUUUUCAUUUCGCCAUUUGUUGAUUCACUCGAAGAGCAAGUAACGUAAUAUGGGUCAAGUGAUCAGUUUGAUAUCAAUCUUUUGUGAUACAGCGUCAUAUUUACAUUAUUUGUACAGUACGACUGAUUUGCUUUGGUACCUGGUCAAACUUUAGCUCUCCUCUGUCUGCCUGUCUGCACUUCUCCUACAGCAAAUUCGCACGCAGCACCUUCUCCCCC
Molecule: long non-coding RNA, 2465 nt
Organism: Oreochromis aureus
Lineage: Eukaryota; Metazoa; Chordata; Actinopteri; Cichliformes; Cichlidae
Source: Ensembl